RNAcentral lists this transfer RNA (76 nucleotides) under Candidatus Altimarinota bacterium. RNAcentral describes it as "Candidatus Gracilibacteria bacterium tRNA-Ala". It matches the Rfam family "tRNA". From Rfam's summary of the family: Transfer RNA (tRNA) molecules are approximately 80 nucleotides in length. The record is from RNAcentral. Lineage: Bacteria; Candidatus Altimarinota.
GGGGGAUUAGCUCAGCUGGGAGAGCAUCUGUUUUGCAUGUAGAAGGUCAGGGGUUCGAAUCCCCUAUCCUCCACCA